GAGUGUAAAAAUGUACUUUUGGACGUCGUCGUUAUGAGUGCAAAGCGCGAGAUGUACUGCGCUCCGAAAUCAAUACGCCGGCUGCCAAUUGUUUUGAGGCGAGUCUACACGCAGAGGCGAGACAAACACCCAACACCAAGCAGAGCUUGAAGGUACAAAUGACGCUCGAACAGGCAUGCCCCCAUGGAAUACCAAGGGGCGCAAUGUGCGUUCAAAGAUUCGAUGAUUCACUGAAUUCUGCAAUUCACACUACUUAUCGCAUUUCGCUGCGUUCUUCAUCGAUGCCAGAACCAAGAGAUCCGUUGUGUCCAAUCGGCGGGCGGACCCGCCGAGGAAACGUAAGGUACUUAAAAGACAGUCCAAUCGGCGGGCGGACCCGCCGAGGAAACGUAAGGUACUUAAAAGACA
RNAcentral lists this unclassified non-coding RNA (408 nucleotides) under fungal sp. ture-2. Its description in RNAcentral is "partial contains ITS1, 5.8S rRNA and ITS2". The record is from RNAcentral. Lineage: Eukaryota; Fungi.